Molecule: ribosomal RNA, 422 nt
Filed under: uncultured bacterium
Lineage: Bacteria
Description: bacterial SSU rRNA
Rfam family: Bacterial small subunit ribosomal RNA
Source: RNAcentral
UAAGGAAUAUUGGUCAAUGGACGGAAGUCUGAACCAGCCACGCCGCGUGGAGGAUGAAGGCCCUCUGGGUUGUAAACUUCUUCUAUUUGGGACGCAACACUCUUUAUCUAGAGAGCUUGACGGUACCAGAUGAAUAAGCACCGGCUAACUCCGUGCCAGCAGCCGCGGUAAUCCGGAGGGUGCAAGCGUUAUCCGGAUUCAUUGUGGUUAAAGGGUGCGUAGGCGGAUUUGUAAGUCCGUGGUGAAAUCUCUAAGCUUAACUUGGAAAUUGCCGUGGAUACUAUGAGUCUUGAAUAUUGUGGAGGUUAGCGGAAUAUGUAAUGUAGCGGUGAAAUGCAUAGAUAUGACAUAGAACACCAAUUGCGAAGGCAGCUGGCUACACAACUAUUGACGCUGAGGCACGAAAGCGUGGGGAUCAAACA